RNAcentral lists this ribosomal RNA (384 nucleotides) under uncultured Alphaproteobacteria bacterium. RNAcentral describes it as "bacterial SSU rRNA". It matches the Rfam family "Bacterial small subunit ribosomal RNA", at positions 9 to 419 of the family's 1533-position model. Lineage: Bacteria; Pseudomonadati; Pseudomonadota; Alphaproteobacteria. The record is from RNAcentral.
GAGUUUGAUCAUGGCUCAGGACGAACGCUGGCGGCGUGCUUAACACAUGCAAGUCGAACGCGUGUAGCAAUACACGAGUGGCGCACGGGUGAGUAACACGUGGAUAUCUGCCUUUUGGUUCGGAAUAACCCUGGGAAACUAGGGCUAAUACCGGAUGGUUCCUACGGGAUAAAGAUUUAUCGCCAAAAGAUGAGUCCGCGUCCGAUUAGCUAGUUGGUGAGGUAAUGGCUCACCAAGGCGACGAUCGGUAGCUGGUCUGAGAGGACGAUCAGCCACACUGGGACUGAGACACGGCCCAGACUCCUACGGGAGGCAGCAGUGGGGAAUAUUGGACAAUGGGGGCAACCCUGAUCCAGCCAUGCCGCGUGAGUGAUGAAGGCCUUC